RNAcentral lists this long non-coding RNA (233 nucleotides) under Carica papaya (papaya). RNAcentral describes it as "long non-coding RNA (CPAP_LNC010335)". The record is from RNAcentral. Lineage: Eukaryota; Viridiplantae; Streptophyta; Magnoliopsida; Brassicales; Caricaceae.
AUAGCUAUUCAUUAGGAGAGUUAAAUAUAAGUUUCUAUUGGAAACAAUCUACGGUGGCGUGGUAGGCCACUAACUAGUUUAUUCCCAAGAUUACAUCAAAGUCCCCCAUGCCAAUCUCUAUUAGGUCCACACUCAAUUUUCUACCUACUAUGUCUAUUAUACAAUAUUUGUAUAUAACCUUCCUUAGUAGUGUCCUACUUCCAAGAGUAGACACAAACAACACAGAAUCAAGU